CCGCGGGAUUAGAGUUUGAUCCUGGCUCGAAUCAACGCUGGCGACGCGCUUAACACAUGCAAGUCGAGCGAGAAAGGGGAGCAAUCCCUGAGUACAGCGGCGUACGGGUGAGUAACACGUGGGUAAUCUACCUCUUAGUGGGGAAUAACCCUGGGAAACCGGGGCUAAUACCGCAUAAGCCUGCAAAGGGAAAGCAGCAAUGCGCUGGGAGAGGAGCCCGCGGCCGAUUAGCUAGUUGGUGAGGUAAUGGCCCACCAAGGCGACGAUCGGUAGCCGGCCUGAGAGGGCACACGGCCACACUGGCACUGAAACACGGGCCAGACUCCUACGGGAGGCAGCAGUGGGGAAUCUUGCACAAUGGGGGAAACCCUGAUGCAGCGACGCCGCGUGAGCGAUGAAGCCCUUCGGGGUGUAAAGCUCUUUCGGCAGGAACGAUAAUGACGGUACCUGAAGAAGAAGCUGCGGCUAACUACGUGCCAGCAGCCGCGGUAAUACGUAGGCAGCGAGCGUUGUUCGGAGUUACUGGGCGUAAAGAGUGUGUAGGCGGUGCUCUAAGUUUGGUGUGAAAUCUCCCGGCUUAACUGGGAGGGUGCGCCGAAGACUGGAGUGCUCGAGCGUGGGAGAGGAAAGCGGAAUUCCUGGUGUAGCGGUGAAAUGCGUAGAUAUCAGGAGGAACACCUGCGGUGUAGACGGCUUUCUGGACCAUUGCUGACGCUGAGACACGAAAGCGUGGGUAGCAAACAGGAUUAGAUACCCUGGUAGUCCACGCCCUAAACGAUGCAUACUUGGUGUCGGCCAUUCAGUUGGUCGGUGCCGGAGCUAACGCGUUAAGUAUGCCGCCUGGGGAGUACGGU
Molecule: ribosomal RNA, 854 nt
Filed under: uncultured bacterium
Lineage: Bacteria
Description: bacterial SSU rRNA
Rfam family: Bacterial small subunit ribosomal RNA
Source: RNAcentral